This 2243-nucleotide small RNA is filed under the name Pongo abelii (Sumatran orangutan). RNAcentral describes it as "retained intron". The record is from RNAcentral. Lineage: Eukaryota; Metazoa; Chordata; Mammalia; Primates; Hominidae.
UUACAGUGUCACCCAAGCGACUGGGAGCCGCGUCCCGCUCUAGGACUGAGCCGUUGGAGCUGCCCCGCUGACCGCACUAGGCUGACCACAACCGGCCGACCAAACACACUCCUCACUCUCCUGGCCCUGGUGGGCGGCAGGCACCAUGGCGCAGACGGAUGUGCUCCUAACCAAAGAGCCGGCCCCGCAGACGGUGCCGCCCUGCGAGCUGCCCUGCAAAGAGUACGACGUGGCCCGCAACACGGGCGCCUACACGUCCUCCGGCCUGGCCACCGCCGGCUUCCGCACCUCCAAGUACUUGCCGGAGGAGUGGUUUCAGAACUGCUAUGCUCGCUACCACCAGGCCUUCGCCGACCGCGACCAGUCGGAGCGGCAGCGGCACGAGAGCCAGCAGCUGGCCGCAGAGACCCAGGCGCUGGCGCAGCGCACGCAGCAAGACUCCACGCGCACGGUGGGCGAGCGACUGCAGGACACGCACGGCUGGAAGUCGGAGCUGCAGCGCGAGGUGGAAGCGCUGGCUGCGGAGACCGACCUGCUCCUGGCCCAGAAGCAACGGCUGGAACGCGCCCUGGACGCCACUGAGGUGCCCUUCUCCAUCGCCACUGACAACCUGCAGUGCCGCGAGCGCCGCCAGCACCCCAACCUCGUGCGCGACCAUGUGGAGACGGAGCUGCUGAAGGGCCUUCCCCCUGCACCCUCUGUGCCUCAAGAACUCCUGCAGCUCCCACAAACCCUCUGCCUGCAACAAGGGCACCUGCCAAGUGAUGGAGACACUGACAGUGCAGGAACAGGCAAACCCAGGGACAGAGGGGUGCAGGACUCGGGCCCUGGCACACAACGAGGUAGCCGGUGGUCGAGGCAAAGACGCCAAUCACAGGGGAAAGGCUUGUUCCUACACACAGAAAAUUAAACUGGCCAGGCAGUAAGAAGAAACACAGGGUCCUUCUCCUAUUCUUGGUGUGAGGAUGGCCUUUCCCAGCACAGAGCCCUGAGGGGCAGCCUGGGCGGGCAUCUGGCCCCCAGAGUUUGGGUCCUCAGGGGCUGUCCAGAGGCCAGGGGAAGGCCAACGUUCCUGGGUGCACUGAGUGAGCAGCAGUGAUGACUCCUGAAGCCUGGGGCGUGGGAACUGCUGCUGAGGGACCUUCCCAGCAGCCCAUAGAAGGCCCUGGAGGAAAACACCCCACUUACAACGCAACAAGAAGAAUGCCCAAAAGCCCAAGAUAAACCCAGUGAGAGAGCAGAACUUGCACAGUCAGAGCUCAGGCCCGGCAUUCUACUCCUUGUGGUUGCUCAGGUGUUGACCAAGGCCUGCAGCAGCUGGGCCUCCUGGGAUCCUGACCAGGGACCGGCUCUGGUGCUCAGGGCUUCUCCUCCCUCAGGAAGCCGAGCUCAUCCGGAACAUUCAGGAGCUGCUGAAGAGAACCAUCAUGCAAGCAGUGAGCCAGAUCCGACUGAACCGGGAGCACAAGGAGACCUGCGAGAUGGACUGGUCGGACAAGGUGGAGGCCUACAACAUCGACGAGACCUGCGGGCGCCACCACAGCCAGAGCACCGAGGUGCAGGCUCAUCCGCACUCCACCACCUUCCAAGAGAGCGCCUCCACCCCAGAGACCUGGGCCAAGUUCACGCAGGACAAUCUGUGCCGCGCCCAGCGCGAGCGCCUGGCCUCGGCCAACCUGCGGGUGCUGGUGGACUGCAUCCUUCGAGACACCUCCGAGGACCUGCGGCUCCAGUGCGACGCCGUGAACCUGGCCUUCGGGCGCCGCUGUGAGGAGCUGGAGGACGCGCGGCACAAGCUGCAGCACCACCUGCACAAGACGCUGCGGGAAAUCACAGAUCAGGAGCACAACGUGGCGGCACUGAGGCAGGCCAUCAAGGACAAGGAGGCACCUCUGCACGUAGCCCAGACCCGGCUGUACCUGCGCUCGCACCGGCCCAACAUGGAGCUGUGCCGCGACGCAGCCCAGUUCAGGCUGGCGAGUGAGGUGGAGGAGCUGAACAUGUCCCUCACAGCGCUGCGGGAGAAGCUUCUAGAAGCGGAGCAGUCCCUGCGCAACCUCGAGGACACCCACAUGAGCCUGGAGAAGGACAUCGCUGCCUUGACCAACAGUCUCUUCAUCGACCGCCAGAAGUGCAUGGCCCAUCGUACUCGCUACCCCACCAUCCUGCAGCUGGCUGGCUACCAGUAAGCAGCGGCACAGUGCUUCCCCCCAAUCUCCCAAAUAAACAGCGCGUUAGCUUUC